AGAUGCUCUGCUUUCACUGGAACUAGAGUUUUCCAGAGUCCCUUCUCAUGGAUCUUUGAAAAGAAAUGUCUGGUCGUAAGCUGGCUGCUGCAUCACCAAUCAUCACCUCUGCAAUCCAAUAAGGAAGAAUGAGAAGAGGGAGGGGAUGGUGCCUGAAACAACAAAGCACAACUAUCUUCUAGAUAUCUACAUGCAAAAAAAUGAAGUUGGUCCCUUACUUCACACCAUACCCAAAAACUAACUUAAAAUCAAUCAAAGACCUAAAGGGCCCAAACCCGCUCUAGUCUCUUGGAAUACUUGCUCUUGGGAUGCUUCCUCUGAGACUUAGCUACCAUACUGAGGGAAGUCAUGGAGAGGUACUCCAGUCUACAGCUACUCCAGACUCCAGGCUACAGCUGGGUGCUCAGCGACAGUCAGCAUCAACUGCCAGCCAUGUAAGUGAGCCAUGUCGGAUGUCCAGCACAGACAAGCCGCUGGAAGACCACGGU
This is a long non-coding RNA of Prionailurus viverrinus (fishing cat), 488 nucleotides long. RefSeq lists it as uncharacterized. The record is from RefSeq and is a predicted model, not a curated record. Lineage: Eukaryota; Metazoa; Chordata; Mammalia; Carnivora; Felidae. The transcript has 3 exons.